Long non-coding RNA from Gigantopelta aegis, 352 nucleotides. RefSeq lists it as uncharacterized. The transcript is spliced from 3 exons. NCBI's taxonomy places the organism in Eukaryota, Metazoa, Mollusca, Gastropoda, Neomphalida, Peltospiridae. The record is from RefSeq and is a predicted model, not a curated record.
GAUUUCCAGGACGUCGGAAUACUUCCCAGGAGAUUCCAGCUGAACACUAAGGACAACCUAACUGACGCAUUGUCCAAGGAAGCCCAGCAGACACGAGUGUUUAUCCUGUGCGCCUAUGGACAAGACGUCCAUCAUUUCAUGCUGGCGGCCUACGACGUUGGACUCAUGAACGGAGAAUAUGCCUUCGUCUCCAUCGACUACGCCAACAUGGGCAUGAGGAUUAACGAUUCCUACAACUCCACCAUUCCGUUUGCUAAAGUAUUUGGAGGGAUGCUUGAUAUUACGGUAGAUGUCCAUCCGGAGAAACCAGAAUUUAAAGAUUUCAUAAAACGUAUAGAAGCCUUUAAAGGGA